This is a long non-coding RNA of Columba livia (rock pigeon), 3564 nucleotides long. RefSeq lists it as uncharacterized. The record is from RefSeq and is a predicted model, not a curated record. The transcript is spliced from 2 exons. Lineage: Eukaryota; Metazoa; Chordata; Aves; Columbiformes; Columbidae.
UUUAGAAAUACAUUUUGCUUUGAACUUUGAGUUUUAGAUCUCUUCAGUUCAGAACUGGUUUUGGUUGGGUUUUUUUUUGAUAAAUGCAUAGUUCCAGAGUCUAAGUAGUAGCUGUGCCUAAAAGAAAAACCACAGAAACAAAUACCAAUUCUCUGUUACUUACUGGAAGAAUCUCAAAGGCCUGUAGUGUUCCGCUGUUCAGUGUUAUUGUCUCAGAGUCAACAGUAGCAGCAGGGGAAUCGGUUGAAGCUGCAAAAGGAAGAAAAAAAGACAAAGAAAGUAUGUAAACCAAAACGUACAGCCCUGCAGAGAGCAUAACAUACUAUAAUUACCACAUAGUGGGGUACUGUUAAUUCCAGCAAUAAGAAAAAGAAAACUGGCUGCAACCCUAAUUACAUGGUUUUCUAAUUGGUACCCAAGAUACAAUACAAUUUAAAGAGGGAAUUCUACAAGCCAAAAGAGCGAAAGAAAGUAUGGUUUUAGUGCACAGGGAUAAAAGCAGAAAAAUAAAGUUACCUGACACGACCUAAUUACUUUUUGUAAUGAGAUUUGUAAGAGGUUCUGGUGUAAUGAUAUCCCUGCUGUAAAGUGGUGUCAGGUUUAAUAUUGUCUUUUUAUUUUUAACCUUUUCUGCCCUCCCCAGUAUGUCCACUGAUGAAACAGAUGCUCCCCAACAUAUUUACCUGCCCUGUGUGUCAUGAUUUUGUGUAUAAAAGCUGUAAGCUUUCUUACCACAAGUGUGUAAUUAAUUAUCUCUAUUAAUUCUAAAACUAAGAUAAGCACAGUUUACGUAUCAGACAUUUCAAGAUUACCAGGUCCAAACAGCUCUUAUCCAAAGCUUUAUAAGGUAUCAAAAACCUAUUCAGAACCAUAAUUAUGAUUUUUCAGUUAUUCUUAAAAAACUCAAAGGCUGCAGGCAAAUUCAUACUUUGCCUGGGACUAUCCAGUAAUUCCAUAAAUACCAAAAGGGCAAAAGACCUACAUGACAGUGGUGCUUCAAGCACUGGAAACUUGGCCUUUUCAGACACCGGCUUCAAAAUAGACUAAUCUUGGUCUUUUAAGAAGAUAUGAGCUCUGCUUUUAAAGCUUUUGUUGUUGUAGUGGCAUGUCCAAGGUUUCCUGUGGGACAUUUGAGUGAUUUUCUUGAAGUUAAUGGACAUUGUAUGGAAUUGAACUGAGCAGGCCUCUGAGGCCUAUGUAUUCAGCAAGAGAGCAAGAGAGCAAGAGUCGAGCAGCCUACGUGUCUUAUGUGACUUUAUACAACCUUGGGUAAAACAAAAGAAAGACAGUCUAGUGAAGAAAAGAAUCAGCAAGUCAGCUAUAAUAUAGAUACAUUUUGUAUAAUAUUAGAGCUUAUGUCAGAAUUGUAUAAUCCAAUCACCUAUUAGUUUGCGGCGCGUGAACAGCAGCUAUUGACCGAUUACAAGUAGCCUUCUGAUGCAUGGACAGCGCGUGGACAGGUCAAAAAGAUAUUUAAAGGAGAGUUAUAACAAGUAAUAAACGGCUUCGCUUGAAUUCAUAUUGGAUUGUGUGGAGUCCAUGAUUCGUCGCCCUCGCAAGUGGUGACCCCGACGUGAUCCGAAAGGAGAAUUUACGGCGAAGGGGACGACUGCUGUGAGGAGCGAGCCCUGGCUGGAGUCGGCGCGGCUGGACCGUGACCGGGACGCAGUCUGCGGGCUGCGUGCCUCCUGAAUGAUCGCUGCAGAAGCGACGGAGGAGGAACAGAGGAUCCAAUAUCGUUGCGCAACGGACACCCAAAGAGGAUCAGGAUCGCGCUGGGUUCCGGCAAAGUGGAUCAAACCCUGGCUAGAAAACACUGCUCAGAGCACAGAAGUUAGAAACGGCAACAAGACGCAAGAAUCAGAAGCAGCGCCAUCUAGUGGUGAAACUGAUUAGAUACAUAGCAUACAAUUAAUAACAUAGAGGGGAAAAAUUAAGACUGAUUAGUUUUAACCUGUUGGGAUGAUAUAAUUGCUUCAUUUAUUCAUACAGAGUUCAAUGAUGGUAUGGUUUUUGCAAUGCAUAGUAGGCAUUACUCUAAUAGUGCUAAACAUAAGUGAUGCUUUUUGGCUUCCUUCUCAGCCAAAGACUAACAUUUGGAUAACUUUAGCCAACAUGACAGGUCAAGAUUCAAUCUGUUUAGCUACUGCAUCUCCGAGCAAUCCUUUUUCAACACGUUUAGUUGGAGUUCCACUAGAUAAUUGGCCCAUUCCUGGAAAUAAGAAACAAUUGGUUGAUGGUAAAAACGUGACAGAUAAUUGGGACAUCUGGGUUGUAGACCUACCACAAGGAGGUUUGGAACCUCAAGAAAUUGAGUUACUAGGAUCAGUAAAAAUGGAUUUUUGUCUGUAUUUCAAUUAUUCAGGGAAAAACAUCUCUCUUGUGCAAGUGGUAAAUGCUUCAUCAUCUGUAUAUCACAACCAGACUUUUUGGUGUAAUUACACCAGUCCAAAUGUAUCUAGGGCUACCAAUAUUCCUUUGAAAUUACCCCCAGGAGUUUUUCUAAUUUGUGGAGAUAGAGCUUGGCAAGGAAUUCCUUCCUACAUAAAAGGAGGACCAUGUUCUUUAGGGAGAUUGACUCUGUUGACUCCAAAUACAUCAAGCAUUUUAAUGCAUAAGAGAGGAAAAAGAAGCAUUCAUGCCUAUAAUAAAGAUUGUAAAGAUAACAUACAAUUUUGGGGAAAAGGCGAAACUAUAGCAUCUUCUAUUUUUGCACCUGGAGUUGCAGCAGCACAGGCUUUGACUACACUUAACAAAUUAGGAUGCUGGUUAGCAAAACAGACUAACGCUACUUCUUUAGCAUUAUCUGGACUUUUAGCAGACACAGAUUCAAUUAGGCAUGCUACGCUUCAAAAUCGUGCUGCCACAGAUUUUUUGUUGUUAGCGCAAGGACAUGGUUGUGAAGACUCUGAUGGGAUGUGUUGCAUGAAUUUGUCUGAUCAUUCUGAAUCAAUUCACAAAGCAAUUAGAAGGUUAGAUGACAUGACCAAGAAGUUAACCUAUGAGGACUGGGGUUUAGACAAGUGGUUGAAUGGCUGGGGUAUUACAGGAUGGAUAAAGGAUUGUUGUAUUAGUAAUGUUAAUGCUUAUUCCUUGUAUCUUACAAUGUGUACAACGUACAGUAGAAAAAUUCAUGAAAGGUCUAUGGUUGGCUCAGAAACAAAAAGGGGGAAUUGUGGGACAUUUGAGUGAUUUUCUUGAAGUUAAUGGACAUUGUAUGGAAUUGAACUGAACAGGCCUCUGAGGCCUAUGUAUUCAGCAAGAGAGCAAGAGUCGAGCAGCCUACGUGUCUUACGUGACUUUAUACAACCUUGGGUAAAACAAAAGAAAGACUGUCUAGUGAAGAAAAGAAUCAGCAAGUCAGCUAUAAUAUAGAUACAUUUUGUAUAAUAUUAGAGCUUAUGUAAGAAUUGUAUAAUCCAAUCACCUAUUAGUUUGCGGCGCGUGAACAGCAGCUAUUGACCAAUUACAAGUAGCCUUCUGAUGCAUGGACAGCGCGUGGACAGGUCAAAAAGAUAUUUAAGGAGAGUUAUAACAAGUAAUAAACGGCUUCGCUUGAAUUCA